UACGGGGGGGGCAAGCGUUGUUCGGAAUUACUGGGCGUAAAGGGCGCGUAGGCGGUUUGCUAAGUUGGAUGUGAAAACUCUGGGCUUAACCCAGAGCCUGCAUCCAAAACUGGCGAACUUGAGUACUGGAGGGGAAAGCGGAAUUCCUGGUGUAGCGGUGAAAUGCGUAGAUAUCAGGAGGAACACCGGUGGCGAAGGCGGCUUUCUGGACAGUAACUGACGCUGAGGCGCGAAAGCUAGGGGAG
This 245-nucleotide ribosomal RNA is filed under the name uncultured bacterium. RNAcentral describes it as "partial 16S ribosomal RNA". It matches the Rfam family "Bacterial small subunit ribosomal RNA", at positions 524 to 768 of the family's 1533-position model. The record is from RNAcentral.